Molecule: long non-coding RNA, 1678 nt
Organism: Betta splendens (Siamese fighting fish)
Lineage: Eukaryota; Metazoa; Chordata; Actinopteri; Anabantiformes; Osphronemidae
Exons: 4
Source: RefSeq, a predicted model, not a curated record
CCAGCUCCUGGCAUCGCCCGAACACUCCAUCUGCAGAAAGACGAGAGGGGAAAGUGAGCAGUGACGAACACAAGACACAGGAGCCGGUUCCCAGCGCCUUCGCAGCUCCGAUGUAAACUGGCUCAGGUGUGGCCUUGUAAACGUGCGCGGCGCCUGCCGAGUCCUCACACCUCUAACUUCCUGUUCUGGGGGAUCUAAUAGCUGACAUUUUCUCCGCUGACAGCUCCGCGAUAAGCAGCCGUUCGUGGCAGGAAGGACUUUAUCUUGGUACCUGGUAAUCUCCCUAUCAGCAGGCCUCCCGCCUUUCUCAAUACAGGUUGCUAGGCAACCCACGCCACCGAGUCCCUAUCAGCCCCACAAUUCAAUGGAUCCUCCAGGUCUGUGAAGGAUGCUGCGGCUCAGGGGGUCACAAAGCGGAAUGGGCCUGUCGGAGGCGGAGAACCAGCAGACGACGCCGUACACUCAGGUUAUUUUGAGAUUCGAGCAGCGCGGAGGAAAUCUUCCCACCUACAGAAGCACAGAUCGACUGACGCGGCGUCGUGUGUCUUUUUCCUCUGCCAACAACGCGUCUCCUCUAAUGCUUUUAUAACAGCAGGAGCGAUGGAGCCGGAUGCACCCUCUUGGCCCGGCGGCCUCCACGGAUGCAAUACGCAGCUCGUGACCGUGAAUGCAGGACAGGCUGAGUAGGCGAAGGUGGUUGGCCGGUGUCGGGGUACCAUCUGUGAUGUCUGACGGGCCAAGAAGGAUGCUGAGCGCCUGGCAGCGAGGACAGCCACUCCCAGAGCCUUCUGCACUUCAGGACAUAUUUCACUCGGUCUCCGGAGCCACCAACAUAUAUUUUAUGAUAUGAAUAAGCAGCUACCAAGGACGUCUGACUCCACACCAGCACUGCCAAAGGAGCCAGUUUAGAGGAGGUGGGCAGUAGAGGUGAGGGUGAAUGGAAAAGGGGACGUGGCCGGAGAGAGAAGAGCAUCACCUGCGAGCAAAUGAGCAUCAGCUUGACACCAUGUCGGCACACUCAAACAGCUUGUGUCAUUAAGGCGCUCUCCUGCUAGAAUUAAAGAUGGCCGCCAGCUCCUCGCAGCCUCCAAAAGGUCCGUUCUCGUCAAACGCUGCGCGCUGCGCGCCCGCUGCUCAACAUUCUCAUCGCAGCACACCCAGAGAUAUGGCCACAGCAGCUGUUUAAAGAAGACGGUCAGAAUUUCCUCGUGUGAUAAAGAACCUUACUUCAUCAUGGAAUGAAGCAAACAAGCCAAUCUAUAUUUUGCACCUAAAGGUUCAACAUGAAGAAAAAGCAGCCAGCGAAUGGACAAAUAGAAUAAAAAAUGGCCUUAGCCUGACACCUCCCAUCAUGUCAGACCUUUCCUUUAAGGCAACGAUGAUCCAUCAAAAGAAUAAAUCUAAACAUCAUUAAUAAUUCGGAGGUCAGUUUGACUGAGGAGGGAAUGAGACAUAACGCGCAUGAAGCCCAUAACCACGUACAUUUCUCAGCGUCCUCUCCAGGUUCUGAUGCAGGCAGGUCGCUCUCAGUCACUCAUCUGCCAGCUCCAGGCGACGACCCAGACAACGGCCAUCAAUUAAAGAUGCUGGCGUCACAGCAGCGACGGAGAGCCCAGAAAUAGGCCAGCUUGACCUUUUGCCUGACCCGCGCUGAAUGAUUUAGACAUUUGAUUUCCCC